RNAcentral lists this non-coding RNA (174 nucleotides) under Trichobilharzia regenti. RNAcentral describes it as "Eukaryotic small subunit ribosomal RNA". It matches the Rfam family "Eukaryotic small subunit ribosomal RNA", at positions 1 to 175 of the family's 1831-position model. Lineage: Eukaryota; Metazoa; Platyhelminthes; Trematoda; Strigeidida; Schistosomatidae. The record is from Rfam by way of RNAcentral.
UAGCUGUUGAUCUUGUCAGUAGUGUCAAGUCGUUUUCUCAGAGAUUAGGCUGUGUAAGUCGAAGUGCUUACCUUGAGACGUUAAAAUUGUGAAUGGCUCCUUAAAUCAACUCUAGUUACCUUGGUCAGGCAUAAUACGCGGAUAACUGUAGCAAUUCUGUGCUUAAUACAUGCA